UUUAAUGGAGAGUUUGAUCCUGGCUCAGGACGAACGCUGGCGGCGUGCCUAAUACAUGCAAGUCGAGCGAGGGUCUUCGGACCCUAGCGGCGGACGGGUGAGUAACACGUAGGCAACCUGCCUGUAAGACUGGGAUAACAUAGGGAAA
RNAcentral lists this ribosomal RNA (148 nucleotides) under Brevibacillus laterosporus PE36. Its description in RNAcentral is "partial 16S ribosomal RNA". It matches the Rfam family "Bacterial small subunit ribosomal RNA", at positions 1 to 156 of the family's 1533-position model. Lineage: Bacteria; Bacillati; Bacillota; Bacilli; Caryophanales; Paenibacillaceae. The record is from RNAcentral.